This 73-nucleotide transfer RNA is filed under the name Canis lupus familiaris (dog). It matches the Rfam family "tRNA". Rfam says of the family: Transfer RNA (tRNA) molecules are approximately 80 nucleotides in length. Their secondary structure includes four short double-helical elements and three loops (D, anti-codon, and T loops). The record is from Rfam by way of RNAcentral. RNAcentral also lists the same sequence under 2 other names. Lineage: Eukaryota; Metazoa; Chordata; Mammalia; Carnivora; Canidae.
GCCUGGCUGGCUCAGUUAGUAGAGCAUAUGACUCUUGAUCUCCAGGUUGUGGGUUUAAGCCCCAUGCUGGGUG